CCCCCUGUGAGAAUGCCCACAACUCCCUGCUUGGGAACUAGGAGCCGGUAUCAGGCACAAGCCCAGCUAGCCCACGACGCCUUGCUUAGCCACACCCUCAAGGGACCUCAGCAGUGAUAAAUAUUAAGCCAUAAGUGAAAACUUGACUUAGUUAAGGUUAAGAGGGCCGGUAAAACUCGUGCCAGCCACCGCGGUUAUACGAGAGGCCCAAGUUGACAAACAACGGCGUAAAGAGUGGUUAGGGGAUUUACUAAACUAGAGCCGAACGCUUUCAAAGCUGUUAUACGCACCCGAAAGUAUGAAACCCAACUACGAAAGUAGCUCUACCUAUCCUGAACCCACGAAAGCUAAGGAACAAACUGGGAUUAGAUACCCCACUAUGCUUAGCCCUAAACAUCGAUUGCACCAUACACUCCAUAUCCGCCCGGGAAUUAUGAACGUCAGUUUAAAACCCAAAGGACUUGGCGGUGCUUAACAUCCACCUAGAGGAGCCUGUUCUAGAACCGAUAACCCCCGUUAAACCUCACCCUCUCUUGUUUUAUCC
RNAcentral lists this ribosomal RNA (544 nucleotides) under Kareius bicoloratus (stone flounder). RNAcentral describes it as "partial 12S rRNA". It matches the Rfam family "Bacterial small subunit ribosomal RNA", at positions 307 to 991 of the family's 1533-position model. Lineage: Eukaryota; Metazoa; Chordata; Actinopteri; Pleuronectiformes; Pleuronectidae. The record is from RNAcentral.